RNAcentral lists this transfer RNA (65 nucleotides) under Unio crassus. Its description in RNAcentral is "tRNA-Ile". The record is from RNAcentral. Lineage: Eukaryota; Metazoa; Mollusca; Bivalvia; Unionida; Unionidae.
GCUGUCACGCCGGUACGAACGGAUUACUUUGAUGAAGUAAAAAAUGAGAUAUAUUCUCUGACAUC